UGGAGAAUAUUGCACAAUGGGCGCAAGCCUGAUGCAGCCAUGCCGCGUGUAUGAAGAAGGCCUUCGGGUUGUAAAGUACUUUCAGUCGGGAGGAAGGUGUCAAGGUUAAUAACCUUGGCAAUUGACGUUACCGACAGAAGAAGCACCGGCUAACUCCGUGCCAGCAGCCGCGGUAAUACGGAGGGUGCAAGCGUUAAUCGGAAUUACUGGGCGUAAAGCGCACGCAGGCGGUUGAUUGAGUCAGAUGUGAAAUCCCCGGGCUUAACCCGGGAAUUGCAUCUGAUACUGGUCAGCUAGAGUCUUGUAGAGGGGGGUAGAAUUCCAUGUGUAGCGAUGAAAUGCGUAGAGAUGUGGAGGAAUACCGGUGGCGAAGGCGGCCCCCUGGACAAAGACUGACGCUCAGGUGCGAAAGCGUGGGGAGCAAACAGG
This 429-nucleotide ribosomal RNA is filed under the name Chloroflexota bacterium. Its description in RNAcentral is "Chloroflexi bacterium partial 16S ribosomal RNA". It matches the Rfam family "Bacterial small subunit ribosomal RNA", at positions 355 to 776 of the family's 1533-position model. Lineage: Bacteria; Bacillati; Chloroflexota. The record is from RNAcentral.